GAGGCAGCGGCCGAAGGUAGGGUCAGCGAUUGGGGUGAAGUCGUAACAAGGUAGCCGUAGGAGAACCUGCGGCUGGAUCACCUCCUUUCUAAGGA
RNAcentral lists this ribosomal RNA (95 nucleotides) under Clostridium perfringens. RNAcentral's name for it is "partial 16S ribosomal RNA". It matches the Rfam family "Bacterial small subunit ribosomal RNA", at positions 1446 to 1533 of the family's 1533-position model. The record is from RNAcentral. Lineage: Bacteria; Bacillati; Bacillota; Clostridia; Eubacteriales; Clostridiaceae.